ACACGUAUUAAACCCAUAGAUAUCAUAUCUAUGAUUAAACAAUUCUAAAACAAAACAAAACCAAAGCGUUGUGUCACAGCAUAGGAUUUUACGUAAAGCCUGUAAUUUUAACAAGAGGACACUUUUAUAUGUUAGCAGUGAAUACGUUUUAUUUUUUAGUAUUAGUCUUGACAGGAAGCUAUAUUGACAAGUUAGAAAGGACAACAUUUGGACAAAAUGUAAACAAGUCUAAUUCAUAAAUACAGAAAAACAAGUCGUCAAAAGAUAAGUCGCCCGAAAGGUGGAAUUGAACCACUCUGCCGCUAGGCAGCUACGGGUUUGAAGCCCGCACCCCGGACCACCGAAGCUCAUCCGGGCAUUAGUGGCAAGGCAACCUCUCCCUAUAAAUACUGGGCAGAUGGUUGGUGGCUUCCUCAUACUCUGGAUCUCUUCUUCAGGAGGGGAGCAGCACAUGCUCCCAGCACAGGCUUUUCCACAGGCAAGGCUGCAGGCAGGGAGGGCACGUGGGGACGGGUCGUCUCUGUGGAUGAUGGGGGAGGCAUCUCCCAGGUUGUUUGAGGAGGCUCCAGCACACGAAGUGAACUCUGGCUGAACAGUGCAGCAGCUCACGCCAAUACUUUUCAACACCUUUGAGACUCCUGACAACAGGUCACCACACCUGCACAGAGGAAAAAUCCUAUUAGGAAUGGAAACAGGAUGUUUUCUGGAUUUUUACAAAAAAUCUGUUCACAUGUACAGACAAUCUGGAUCAUUUUUUGGAUGAUUUUGGAAUGCUGCUUUUUAGCAAAAUCCCUGUAAAAGAAAAAAAUGUGAUGCUACUCAACAUAAAAAAUAAUCGCACAUGAACGCCUUCCAAAUCUUUCAAAUAAAGACAAAACAAGAAAUAAAUAUGAUAUAUUUUAGAUGUCAUCCAUCAGUCUGAGCAUCCAAGAAAACUGAGUACAUUUUCAAUACCUAUCUCAAUAAAUGUUUAAGUUGUGCCAUUUUGUU
This is a long non-coding RNA of Oryzias melastigma (Indian medaka), 990 nucleotides long. RefSeq lists it as uncharacterized. The transcript has 2 exons. NCBI's taxonomy places the organism in Eukaryota, Metazoa, Chordata, Actinopteri, Beloniformes, Adrianichthyidae. The record is from RefSeq and is a predicted model, not a curated record.